UCUGGCGGCCAUAGCGGUGUGGCACCACCUGAAUCCAUCCCGAACUCAGCAGUGAAACACACC
Molecule: ribosomal RNA, 63 nt
Filed under: Idiomarina sp. H105
Lineage: Bacteria; Pseudomonadati; Pseudomonadota; Gammaproteobacteria; Alteromonadales; Idiomarinaceae
Also listed under: 1 other name
Source: RNAcentral